UAGAAAUCACAGAAGUAACUGCUCCCCCUGAGGAUAAUCCUGUAGAAGAUUCACAGGUAAUUGUAGAAGAAGUAAGCAUUUUUCCUGUGGAAGAACAGCAGGAAGUACCACCAGAUACUUAAAGCUUCAAAAAGACUGCCCCUACCACCACAGGAGGACCAGCCUAACCAUACGCUCCAAAAGAUGGCUGUGAUAGAUCUUGUGAAGCAAUUACUGAGCAGAUCAAGAUCUUUGGGAAGGAACACUAAAGAUGUUUUGAAUGAAUUAUAGUCCACUGGCAUUUUAGUGUAUUUUUUUUUCUUUUUAGAAACACACAUUUCUAAAAAUGUCAUGUUACAUUCCUGCAUGUCCCUUUUGAUAGCAUUAGUGGAUCCAUUGGAUUUCUUUUUUCUUUUUGUGAGACAGCUUUUAGUCUUACCUGAAUUUAUGUGUGUUUUUCCGACAGUGGUUAAUAAUUAUAUUGGUGAUGUAGCAGC
RNAcentral lists this long non-coding RNA (476 nucleotides) under Homo sapiens (human). Its description in RNAcentral is "long non-coding RNA NONHSAT217114.1". The record is from RNAcentral. Lineage: Eukaryota; Metazoa; Chordata; Mammalia; Primates; Hominidae.